GGGGAUUUAGCUCAGUGGUAGAGCGCUUACCUAGUAAGUGCAAGGCCCUGGGUUCGGUCCCCAGCUCCG
RNAcentral lists this transfer RNA (69 nucleotides) under Rattus norvegicus (Norway rat). It matches the Rfam family "tRNA". From Rfam's summary of the family: Transfer RNA (tRNA) molecules are approximately 80 nucleotides in length. Their secondary structure includes four short double-helical elements and three loops (D, anti-codon, and T loops). Further hydrogen bonds mediate the characteristic L-shaped molecular structure. tRNAs have two regions of fundamental functional importance: the anti-codon, which is responsible for specific mRNA codon recognition, and the 3' end, to which the tRNAs corresponding amino acid is attached (by aminoacyl-tRNA synthetases). tRNAs cope with the degeneracy of the genetic code in two manners: having more than one tRNA (with a specific anti-codon) for a particular amino acid; and 'wobble' base-pairing, i.e. permitting non-standard base-pairing at the 3rd anti-codon position. The record is from Rfam by way of RNAcentral. Lineage: Eukaryota; Metazoa; Chordata; Mammalia; Rodentia; Muridae.